UCAGUCCAGAGGGCCAGGCCGGCCACCCACCUGCCUCCAGGGGACAGGGUGUGGGGGAGCCGCUGACCACAGCUGCCCAGGAGCCCUGCCUCGGACCGAGUCCUCAUGAGAAUGCUGACAGAGCAGGGACCCUCACCCGCAGGGGAGCAGGGCUCUAGCAAGUGGAGUAUUUUGGAUUUAGCCUCCUGGAGGUACUGAACUUCUUGCUAAACUUUAUGGCCCCCUACAUCUCGCCUACAUUUUUCUAAGGACCGAGUUUUUUCUGGUCUGAUCAUGAAAAUAUAAGAGGUCUUUUGUAAAAAUGUAAGAUAAAUCGGGGCAGUAAAGAAAAUAAAUAUCACCUGUCGCCCUUACUGCACAGAAAUAACAACUGCUCUGAAACGUGGUGAAUAAUAACGCGGGUCUUUUUACACACACGAGGUUUUGGCAGCAUGCUGCUUUUCUCAUUUACUAUUUUAUAUUUCACGAAUCCUUUCCUGUUAAGUACUUUUUAAAGACACCACCGAAGUGUCUUCGUUCGGAGCACACAGAGGUCUUUCGGCUCGGGCCCUGCAGGCCCUGGCGGCGCCGCCGGAAAGCCCGUCUUCUCCGGGGAUGUGAGGGGCGCGGGCCGAGGCUGACGUGGCGGGAGAGCCCCAGCGCGCGGCCGCGUGCACUGUAAACAGUUAAUAGCCCAUCUCUCGCUCUGAGGAGCUCCUCCCCGCGAUGAUGCAGGGUGGAAUAAAAACCCUGAUUAGUUUAGAUCUUCCCCGAGCCCCGGGAGGCGCCCGGGACGCCCUCGCGCGCGCAGGCUCUCGCGGCUGCGGGGCCUCCAGCUCUGGCGCCGCAGAUCCGGCGUCUCGGACGGGAAGCCGCGUCUCCUCUCACUCCCGCGGAGACGAACCCGCUUCCUGCUCGCACGCACACCCGUGGGCUGCUUUCCUUUAGGAGGACGAAGCGGAACAGGUCGGGUUGUCACGGGAAGAAAAUGGAUCUGGACUAAUUCAUGGCACGUGGACACCCACGCGUCCAGAGGGACCGCAGGUCAGAGGUCAGAGGGCUCUGUGUUAUGCAUGAAGCCUGGCCCCUCGCACCGAUGAAUAAGUGUGAGCGAUUUGCUUCCGAAGCCAGCAGGGGAUUCCGAACGGUGGCCAGAUUCCUGCUCUAGAAAAUCAAAAGGAUGCUUCGCAGAGAGCUAAAGAAGAUGGUGGAGGAGUAAGACGGGGAGAUCGCUUGCCUUCUCACAAACACAUCAAAAACUCAUCAAAACAUGAAACAGCUCCUACAGAGCAGCUUCUACACAACAGCAGAAGACCCCGGGCUUCUAAAAAGAAGCAGCAGCAUGUGGGACUCUCAGGCCCUCCCCGGUACCAGCUACACGAACGACCGGGUUCCUGAAUCGACUCUGGAUGAGUUUUCCUCUUCUGCGAACUGGAGAUGAUAGUAACACGUCCAUCAUAGGGUUGUUGGAGAGAUCAGAUGAGAUAAUUUACAAAGGAGCUCUUUUACAGUCAUGGGGUUCUAUUCUGAUCCAAGCAUCUUCGAUGGGGCUCACGCGGCCGUGAGACAGACAGAAGCAAGCAAGGAAGCGGGAACAGACGCCCAGAUGGGAAGUGCCGUGGGGAAAACUGGGAACAGACGCCCAGAUGGGAAGUGCCGUGGGGAAAACUGGGAACAGACGCCCAGAUGGGAAGUGCCGUGGAGGAAAACUGGGAACAGACGCCCAGAUGGGAAGCGCCGUGGAGAAAACUGGGUAGGGGGGUGGUGCUCAAGAGGGGCGAAGAUGCUUCAGAUGGGGGCUCAGAGACCCAGUGACUGUUAGUUAUCAUGACGGCACUGAUAGGGAGUCACGACCGCCUGAUGUGACCGCUGGGCAGGUCCGAGAGAAGAAACUGACCCACGUACCCAGACUUUUUGUCUGUUUCCAUCCUCGACUCCAAGACUGCCGGCAGCCUCGUGCACAGGCUGGGACUUCAGAACACCUGCGAGGUGACUUCUGUCCGAAUGAGAGAAGCCGAGGUGGGUACAAUGACUCCCCACUUUUCCGGAGCUGCGUGCUGUGCCUGGGUCGCCUUAAGCACGGGCAGUGCCUUCACGGUGACACAGAGAGGCUCGCUGCCUCUGCACCAGCUUGCCGUCGAGAGGACUGGCAGCCCCUUAAAACUCCUAGAAGGACCUGCCUGGUGGUCCAGCGCUUAACGAUUCGCCUUCCGACAGGGAACUCUGCUCAGUGGCACGUGGCAGCCCGGAUGGGAGGGGAAUUUGGGGAGAAUGGAUCCAUGUGUAUGUAUGAAUCCCUUCACUGUUCACCUGAAACUAUCAUAAGAUUGU
Long non-coding RNA from Bos taurus (domestic cattle), 2310 nucleotides. The record is from Ensembl. NCBI's taxonomy places the organism in Eukaryota, Metazoa, Chordata, Mammalia, Artiodactyla, Bovidae.